Molecule: ribosomal RNA, 499 nt
Filed under: uncultured bacterium
Lineage: Bacteria
Description: partial 16S ribosomal RNA
Rfam family: Bacterial small subunit ribosomal RNA
Source: RNAcentral
GACGAACGCUGGCGGCGUGCCUAAUACAUGCAAGUCGAGCGGACUGAAUGGGAGCUUGCUCUUGUUCGGUCAGCGGCGGACGGGUGAGUAACACGUGGGCAACCUGCCCGCAAGACCGGGAUAACUCCGGGAAACCGGAGCUAAUACCGGAUAACACCGAAGACCGCAUGGUCUUUGGUUGAAAGGCGGCGCACGCUGCCACUUGCGGAUGGGCCCGCGGCGCAUUAGCUAGUUGGUGAGGUAACGGCUCACCAAGGCGACGAUGCGUAGCCGGCCUGAGAGGGUGGCCGGCCACACUGGGACUGAGACACGGCCCAGACUCCUACGGGAGGCAGCAGUAGGGAAUCUUCCGCAAUGGGCGAAAGCCUGACGGAGCGACGCCGCGUGAGCGAAGAAGGCCUUCGGGUCGUAAAGCUCUGUUGUGAGGGACGAAGGAGCGCCGUUUGAAGAAGGCGGCGCGGUGACGGUACCUCACGAGGAAGCCCCGGCUAACUACGUG